Molecule: ribosomal RNA, 445 nt
Filed under: uncultured bacterium
Lineage: Bacteria
Description: partial 16S ribosomal RNA
Rfam family: Bacterial small subunit ribosomal RNA
Source: RNAcentral
GUGAGGAAUAUUGGACAAUGGGCGCAAGCCUGAUCCAGCCAUGCCGCGUGCAGGAAGACGCAUCUAUGGUGUGUAAACUGCUUUUGUACGGGAAGAAACACUCCCUCGUGAGGGAGCUUGACGGUACCGUAAGAAUAAGGAUCGGCUAACUCCGUGCCAGCAGCCGCGGUAAUACGGAGGAUCCAAGCGUUAUCCGGAAUCAUCGGGUUUAAAGGGUCCGUAGGCGGUUUAAUAAGUCAGUGGUGAAAGCCCAUCGCUCAACGAUGGAACGGCCAUUGAUACUGUUAGACUUGAAUUACAAGGAAGUAACUAGAAUAUGUAGUGUAGCGGUGAAAUGCUUAGAUAUUACAUGGAAUACCAAUUGCGAAGGCAGGUUACUACUUGUGGAUUGACGCUGAUGGACGAAAGCGUGGGGAGCGAACAGGAUUAGAUACCCUAGUAGUCC